UACAGAGGUCUCAAGCGUUGUUCGGAUUCAUUGGGCGUAAAGGGUGCGUAGGUGGCGCGGUAAGUCGGGUGUGAAAUCUCGGAGCUUAACUCCGAAAUUGCAUUCGAUACUGCCGUGCUUGAGGACUGGAGAGGAGACUGGAACUCAUGGUGUAGCAGUGAAAUGCGUAGAGAUCAUGAGGAAGACCAGUGGCGAAGGCGGGUCUCUGGACAGUUCCUGACACUGAGGCACGAAGGCCAGGGGAGCAAACGGG
This 253-nucleotide ribosomal RNA is filed under the name uncultured bacterium. RNAcentral's name for it is "partial 16S ribosomal RNA". It matches the Rfam family "Bacterial small subunit ribosomal RNA", at positions 524 to 776 of the family's 1533-position model. The record is from RNAcentral.